AGUAAGCGUGGGUAACUGCCUCAUACAGGGGGAUAACAGUUAGAAAUGACUGCUAAUACCGCAUAAGCGCACAGUGCUGCAUGGCACAGUGUGAAAAACUCCGGUGGUAUGAGAUGGACCCGCUCUGAUUAGCUAGUUGGUGGGGUAACGGCCUACCAAGGCGACGAUCAGUAGCCGGCCUGAGAGGGUGAACGGCCACAUUGGGACUGAGACACGGCCCAA
RNAcentral lists this ribosomal RNA (222 nucleotides) under uncultured bacterium. RNAcentral's name for it is "partial 16S ribosomal RNA". It matches the Rfam family "Bacterial small subunit ribosomal RNA", at positions 109 to 334 of the family's 1533-position model. The record is from RNAcentral.